CCUACGGGUGGCAGCAGUGAGGAAUAUUGGUCAAUGGCCGGAAGGCUGAACCAGCCAUGCCGCGUGAAGGUCAGUGCCCUAUGGGCGGUAAACUUCUUUUGUUCGGGAGCAAUCAUGGUCACGUGUGGCCCGACGAGAUUACCGUUCUAAUCAGCAUCGGCUAACUCCGUGCCAGCAGCCGCGGUCAUACGGGGGGUGCAAGCGUUAUCCGGAUUUAUUGGGUUUAAAGGGUGCGUAUGCGGUGAGGUAAGUCAGCGGUGAAAUGCCACCGCUCAACGGGGUGAAGUGCCAUUGAUACUGCGUGGCUGGAAGGAGGAUGCGGCGGGAGGAAUGUGUGGGGAAGCGGAGAAAGGGA
RNAcentral lists this ribosomal RNA (355 nucleotides) under uncultured bacterium. RNAcentral describes it as "partial 16S ribosomal RNA". It matches the Rfam family "Bacterial small subunit ribosomal RNA", at positions 338 to 690 of the family's 1533-position model. The record is from RNAcentral.